CUGGACGCGAAGCGGCAAAAAUCAAAUAUCCGAAAAGAAAACAGAAAACAUUUCAAAUAUAUUCAAGUCGACAACAAACAGACACAUUUGACGCGUUGCGUAUACGCCACAUUUGCCUAGGCAACAGUGAGAAGACUCGCGCGUGAUUUUCCGUGAACCGGCAAAUAGCAAAUUCAAGUCCAACCAAGUGCCGGAGCGUGCUCGAGUGCGGAUCCGCAAAAACGUUACGGUCUACGGUUGCGUUUGCGUUUGCGUCUGCGGUUCCGUUUUUGUUGACAUUUUUGUGACGCGUCGUUUGGCACGAAACGAAAACUAAGCAUAAAAAAAAAGAGCAGGAACUUUUGGCUUUCCCUUUUGUUCAACUGUCUGGGCCAGGCUUUAGGCUUGAAGUGCAAGUUAAACAGGCAACAACUUAACCCCGAGGCCUCAAAUUAAAUCCAUUGUCAGCAGAGUCCAUGCAAUUAGCAAUGAGCCACAUAUUACAGGAAACUUUUUGAAUGCGAAAAACAUUAAAGAUACAGAUAAACUUGAGACGUGACUGCGCCCAGACGACGGAUAUGGCUGCUUAAGUGGCUCACUUCCGGUGAAUCCGGACAGGAAUAAGCAACAACAACCAACUCGAGCACAGACGCAGUUAUAGCCUUGGCCGCAUCCACAGCCAGCUCGGCCAGCUUAAUCUCAAUCUACAACUGAAAAGCGACUCAUUAGGUAUCCAAACAAAGUCCUUAAGCAUGGCCAAUGUAAGCAACGAGACGGUUAAUGCUUGGCUGGUCUCGGUCAGCACUCAGUUGCCGCAUGUACUGGGCAUAGAUGUGGGCGUCAAUUGGAGCAGCAGCAGCACGACCAGCACCACAACAAUGGCCAUACCCAGCAGCAGCAUGGGCACCACCACCACGGCAAGCACGGUGAGCAGCCUGUCCAGCGAUGCGAAUACGGACGCGGCCGCAGAUGCUGAUAAAUCGGGCAUUAUACACAAUCAGUUCGUGCAGAUCUUUUUCUAUGUACUGUACACCACAGUGUUUGUUCUGGGCGUAUUUGGCAAUGUGCUUGUCUGCUAUGUGGUGCUCAGGAAUCGUGCCAUGCAAACGGUAACCAAUAUAUUCAUUACCAAUCUGGCGCUAUCCGACAUUUUGCUUUGUGUGCUGGCCGUGCCCUUUACGCCAUUGUACACAUUUAUGGGUCGCUGGGCAUUUGGGCGCACUCUGUGCCAUCUGGUCUCCUUUGCCCAGGGCUGCAGCAUAUAUAUAUCGACGCUGACGCUGACCUCGAUUGCAAUCGAUCGCUAUUUUGUGAUCAUAUAUCCGUUCCAUCCGCGCAUGAAACUCUCCACAUGCAUUGGCAUCAUCGUGAGCAUUUGGGUGAUCGCACUGCUGGCAACUGUGCCCUACGGCAUGUACAUGAAGAUGACCAACGAGGUGAUGGAUAACACCACCCAGCUGGUUGGCGCCAAUCAGACAAGCAGCAGCCGGUAUGGCAAUUAUGGCCUUGCCACGCCCGACGCCACAUCGGCUGCCCAGGCCUACAUGCAGGUCAUGACCGACGGCGUCACUGUCUGCGAGGAGAACUGGCCAUCGGAGCAUUAUCGCAAGGUGUUUGGUGCCAUAACCACGACGCUGCAGUUUGUCUUACCAUUUUUCAUCAUAUCCAUUUGCUAUGUAUGGAUCUCGGUCAAGUUGAAUCAGCGUGCCAGAGCCAAGCCGGGCUCAAAGUCGUCGCGACGCGAGGAGGCGGAUCGGGAUCGCAAGAAGCGCACGAAUCGCAUGCUUAUCGCAAUGGUGGCAGUCUUUGGCCUCAGCUGGUUGCCCAUCAAUUUGGUGAACAUUUUUGAUGACUUCGAUGAUAAGUCCAACGAGUGGCGCCUCUAUAUGCUGUUCUUCUUUGUGGCCCACUCGAUUGCCAUGAGCUCCACCUGCUACAAUCCCUUUCUGUAUGCCUGGCUGAAUGAGAACUUCCGCAAGGAAUUCAAGCACGUGCUGCCCUGCUUCAAUCCAUCCAACAACAACAUCAUCAACAUCACCAGAGGCUACAAUCGCAGUGAUCGCAACACCUGCGGCCCGCGUCUGCAUCAUGGCAAUGGCGAGGGCGGCGCCGGUGGCAGUCUUGAUGCUGAUGAUCAGGACGAUAAUGGCAUCACACAGGAGACCUGCCUGCCCAAGGAGAAGCUGCUCAUCAUACCGCGCGAGCCCACCUAUGGCAAUGGCAACGGUGCCGUCUCCCCAAUACUCAGUGGGCGUGGCAUCAAUGCAGCCCUCCUGCAUGCCAGCCAGCCGCAGCAGCAACAGCAACAAGUCCAGCAGCAGCAAGUGGAGCUCACAAGACGCAUACGCCGACGCACAGACGACGACACCGAUUUUAUAGACUCCGGCGAUGAGCAGACGGUGGAGGUGCGCUUCAGCGAGACGCCGUUUGUCAGCUCCGACAAUACGACGGGCAUCAGCAUGCUGGAGACGAGCGAGAGCCAGUUCCAGGACUCAGGAGAGCUGCCCGAAUUGAGCGCUGUUGUGGUUGGAGAUGCCUCCAGGCGAUGUAACUGAGACAGGAUUUUCGAAACACAUUUCUAGGCGCAAUUGCUGGUCCUCGACAGUGGCAAGGAUAUCGACGACAACAAAGUGUAGGGGAAUGUGACAUAAACUACAAAGCUGAAAGUGCAAAGUUCUAGAGUAUGGGCGCAUGUUGGCGUGUGGGAGUGGCUGUUAGUCGUACUGUGUGGCACGAAAAGUGCUGAUAAAUGCCAAAUAAAGUGACAACGAUGCGAAUAUUGCCGCGCAGGGACGCCAGGGGGGGAGAGGAUGGAGCACAACAGUGCCCCAAGCAAUUGGCUGAAGCAGCUUCUCAAAUCGCUUGGUAUCAAAUUUCAUUCGCUGCGCCAUUUCGCAUAUUUGCGCAGCCUUGCAGGGAGUCGGGCGAAUCCAUUAAAACGCCGGCAUACUCCAUAUGGGUCGGCUAUAUGCGUCACCUCGAUUUCAAUUUCAAAAUUCUGCGUCUAACUGUCGCACAAAUGCUUCGCUUCACUCGGUUGUCGUUGGAAUUAAAUUUGUUGUGCCAAUUUUUGGUUCAAUUGCGCGGAAAAAUGUCAGCACAGCACCGCAACAAAAGGUAAAUGGCAGCAAAACAAAAGUAAAAUGCUGAAAACCAAAGAAAAUAAUUUACCCAACUAAAAAUAAAAAGAACAAAACUGGCAAACAAUAUUGUGCCAAAUAAAAUAAGCCUAAGCUGACAUUGAUGGGAUUUGUGUAGGCAACAGCAAGCCGAGCCAAAUAUUUGUCGAUCGACUGACAGCUGCUGGAAAACAAGUUAAGAGGCAGGAGUCAAAUUUUACCAAAUUGACGGAUGUUUCAAAGUUGUUUGCAUAGACAUUUUAUUGAAAUUUAGUUGGUGGCUCAAACCAGAGCUUAGACUAUUAGCCGGAUGAAGAGUGACAAGUUCUAAGCAAGUGAAAUCUAACUUCUUUGUGGCUCAGUUUUCCGGAAAAAUUCAAUUUCAAAACUGUCUUAAAUAAACCGGUCACACUCACGCUUAGGCGAAAAGCAAUGCAAGUGAAAAUGCUUAGAGAUAAAAUAAUUUGCUAGUCGUUACUUUGAUGUGAGUUUCAAUAUUAUAAAUUACGUGUUUAAGGCUUGACACUGUUUUAUGAAAAAACCAAUUAACGUAGAUAUUUAAGCCGCUUUAGAAAAACCAAAUCUGUUCGACACGCUUUCAAAGUGUUUUGACUGUAGAACUUAAUUUAGCAUAAAAGCAAAUGGAAAUUUAGUGUAACAAAUGCUGGGCAUGACGUGAAGCAAGGAGAGAAUAACUACAAAUAAAAAACAAAUAGAGCACACAAAAAUAGUAGAGAACCAAAAGUAUUCAAAGUCUUGUUGACCCUGAGCCCCACUUUUGAAAGUUUAUGUCAGGCGAUGUUGCCAGAGGAUGACACACUAUUAUUCUCUCAAAUCGUUUUGCUGCAACUCAAGCCAUGUGCUAUCCUGUAAAUUAAGCUUUCAAAAAAAUGUCAGCGAUUUUUGUGUACUUUUGGUUUGUCAUAUAUAAAAAGUUGCACUGCGUAUACGUAAUAUCUGUUAGUUGGUCUACGAAAAAAAA
This 4080-nucleotide unclassified non-coding RNA is filed under the name Drosophila virilis. Its description in RNAcentral is "GJ11567". Lineage: Eukaryota; Metazoa; Arthropoda; Insecta; Diptera; Drosophilidae. The record is from RNAcentral.